RNAcentral lists this ribosomal RNA (204 nucleotides) under Triticum aestivum (bread wheat). Its description in RNAcentral is "partial small subunit ribosomal RNA". The record is from RNAcentral. Lineage: Eukaryota; Viridiplantae; Streptophyta; Magnoliopsida; Poales; Poaceae.
AUGGCGAGAUGGCGGCGGUCGAGGUUGGUGGAGCCGGUCGAUGCCGUCUUUGUGGUGCUGCACCCGACGAACGGGGACUCGAAGAAGACGCGGUGGUCGACGGGGGUCCGCCUGGACAACUCCUCCAACGCCGGGGACUACGCAGGCCGCGGCAAUGGCGAUGACACACACAACCACAUCGCGAUCUCGCGAGCUCGUUUUUGA